ACCCUUUGUCCUGGAUGGAGCCCGAGA
This 27-nucleotide non-coding RNA is filed under the name Homo sapiens (human). The record is from RNAcentral. Lineage: Eukaryota; Metazoa; Chordata; Mammalia; Primates; Hominidae.